ACUCCGGCCCCAUCAGCUCAUGGGCAGGGAAGACGCAGGGAAGGGGACAUGGGGACUUCUUGCAAUGGAGCAGUUGACAGAAUCAGAACUACCUGCCAGGGGGCAAAAUUAGAGCCAGAAAUGAGUCUGGAGCUACAUGGACCUAGGAAGAAUAUUUAGAAGCCCUGCCCUCAUGAACUGGGAAGGAAGAAAAGACACCUUCCCCCACAACGCCACAGGAGCUAUCAAAUGUGCUCUUUUUAAAGUCAUUUCUAUUCUUUAAAAAAAUGCACCAUUGUGGUGCAGCCACUGUGAAAAGCAGCAUGGCGCUUCCUCAAACAAUUAAAAACAGAAUUACUCUGUGAUCUAACAAUUCCAAAAUGUGUACGGCCAUGUCCAUUUUAGCAUUAGUCACGAUACCCAAAAGGUGGAGGCAAGCCAGUGUCCACUGAAGCCUGAAGGGAUCAACAAAAUCUGGUAUAUACAUGCAAUGGAGUGUGGUUCCACCUAGAAAAGGAGGGAAAUUCUGGCACCUGCUACACAGGGGUGAACUCGAAGACAUUAUGCCAAGUGAAAUAAGCUGGUCACAAAAGGACAAAUACUGCGUGAUUCCAUUCAUAGGAGGUGCCUAGAGGAGUCAAGAUCACAGAGACAGAAAGAAUAGUGGUGUCAGCGACUGGGGAGUUAGCGUUUGAUGGGCACAGGGUUUGUUUUGCAAGAGGAAGAGGUUCUGGAGAUUGUUUGCACGGCACUGUGGAGCUGCUC
This 744-nucleotide long non-coding RNA is filed under the name Homo sapiens (human). RNAcentral's name for it is "HSALNT0370725". Lineage: Eukaryota; Metazoa; Chordata; Mammalia; Primates; Hominidae. The record is from RNAcentral.